Molecule: ribosomal RNA, 460 nt
Filed under: uncultured bacterium
Lineage: Bacteria
Description: partial 16S ribosomal RNA
Rfam family: Bacterial small subunit ribosomal RNA
Source: RNAcentral
CCUACGGGGGGCAGCAGUGAGGAAUAGUGGUCAAUGGACGCAAGUCUGAACCAGCCAUGCAGCGUGCAGGAAGACGGCGCUAUGAGUUGUAAACUGCUUUUGUACGAGGGUAAACGCAGAUACGCGUAUCUGUCUGAAAGUAUAGUACGAAUAAGGAGCGGCUAACUCCGUGCGAGCAUACGCGGUAAUACGGGGGAUUCAAGCGUUAUCCGGAUUUAUUGGGUUUAAAGGGUGCGUAGGCGGUCGGAUAAGUUAGAGGUGAAAUCCCGCGGCUCAACUUCGGAAUUUCCUCUGAUACUGUUCGGCUAGAGAGUAGGUGCGGUAGGCGGAAUGUAUGGUGGAGCGGUGAAAUGCUUAGAGAUCAUACAGAACACCGAUUGCGAAGGCAGCUUACCAAGCUACUUCUGACGUUGAGGCACGAAAGCGUGGGGAGCAAACAGGAUUAGAUACCCUAGUAGUC